AACGCGAAGAACCUUACCAGGGCUUGACAUCUCCUGAAGGCUCAAGAGAUUGAGCUGUCCCUUCGGGGCAGGAAGACAGGUGGUGCAUGGUUGUCGUCAGCUCGUGUCGUGAGAUGUUCGGUUAAGUCCGGCAACGAGCGCAACCCCUGUGGCCAGUUGCCAUCAUUUGGUUGGGCACUCUGGCAAGACCGCCGUUAACAAAACGGAGGAAGGUGGGGAUGACGUCAAAUCAUCAUGCCCCUUAUGUCCUGGGCUUCACACGUACUACAAUGGUAGCAACAGAGGGCAGCCACACCGCGAGGUGGAGCGAAUCCCAAAAUGUUAUCUCAGUUCGGAUUGCAGGCUGAAACUCGCCUGCAUGAAGCAGGAAUUGCUAGUAAUGGCAGGUCAGCAUACUGCCGUGAAUACGUUCCCGGGCCUUGUACACACCG
This 431-nucleotide ribosomal RNA is filed under the name uncultured bacterium. Its description in RNAcentral is "bacterial SSU rRNA". It matches the Rfam family "Bacterial small subunit ribosomal RNA", at positions 958 to 1392 of the family's 1533-position model. The record is from RNAcentral.